RNAcentral lists this ribosomal RNA (98 nucleotides) under Methanoculleus thermophilus. The record is from RNAcentral. Lineage: Archaea; Methanobacteriati; Methanobacteriota; Methanomicrobia; Methanomicrobiales; Methanomicrobiaceae.
ACACCUGGACUCAUCCCGAACCCAGCAGUUAAGCCCUCUUACGUAUUGUGUGGUACUGAGGUACGCGAGUCCUCGGGAAGCACGAUUCGCUGCUAGUA